CCAUGAACCAAAGGAUUCCUAAUAUAGGGAUGGAGUUGAUACAUCAAACUUUUAAGAGUGAGUCUCCUUACUUUAGACAUUUUGAGGAAAAAGAAAAAGAAAGAAUGGAAAGGUGAAGUCCGGACGACCCAUCAAACUUGCAUCAUAUGUAUUAUUAUAAAUUCAGAACUGGUAUUUUCAUAUGUAUUAUUAUAAAUUCAGAACUGGUAUUUAGAAGGCUAGGUGAAUCAUCCCUUUUCAAGAUCCACUCCAUCUUCAUCAGUAUUUCAUGUGAAACACACUAGUUAUGUUAAACAGGAAGCCCUUCGUCCUUUCCAGAU
RNAcentral lists this long non-coding RNA (320 nucleotides) under Elaeis guineensis (African oil palm). RNAcentral's name for it is "long non-coding RNA (EGUI_LNC020637)". Lineage: Eukaryota; Viridiplantae; Streptophyta; Magnoliopsida; Arecales; Arecaceae. The record is from RNAcentral.